AUUGUGUAUCCCUCCGUGGUCCAUUCGAAAGUAGUGCCUAUUUCUAAAGAGUUCCUUUUCUCUUCUUGAAUAUAAGCCAUUUAACAAUGUGAGACAUGUCUUUUGUGGUUAUUUGUAAUAUCCUGUAUGUGUCUGGAGUACUUUGAUGCCUUGGAUUGGAAGCUAACUUGAAAGAUGAACUUUUGAGGGUGUGUUUUCUAUUGUGUGGGGCUUUUGUCGAAAUUAGGAUUCCGAAACACGUUUUUCUACGGUGGGUUCAUUCGACAGCGAUUUACUUUCUUAGAAGUUGCGAGACGGUAUGUUUUUGAUUGCAAUUAUUGGAAGAUGACAGAUCCAUCUUUAAAAUGAUACCAGGUUCGGAAAAAUUGAUACGUCGGAAAGGCAAGAAAAAUGCUGUGAAAGUUGUCAGUUUUAUAAUGGGACCCUAUGGGAAUCGGAAUUAGUGUAAUAUAACCUUUAAAAAGCACAUUUACUGCAAUGUCAAGGUCACAUGGAUUCGUCUGCAAGCGAGACAAGUAGAAAAUGAAUUUUAAUGAAUGUUUUGAUGAUUUGGGUGCUAAAAUAGAUGAGAGGUGUCAAUAUUUUGGUCCAAAUGGAUGUUUUAGGUGGUUUUGGACUGUUCCGGAUGGGUGGGGGACCUGGUAUGGACAAGUAAGGGUAAGAUUUCCAACAAAUCUUAAAUGUAAAUAUUAUUAUGUCCAUAGAUUGAAGUUUCAGGUGGAGAGCAAGAUGAAAAAUAUGCAAAAUUACAUGCAUGCAACCCAUUUAUGCCAUUUUUCUCUUUGUUUGUAGGCCUGACCGUUUGUCCUUGAGCCGUAGAUGGUCAACAAUCCGCUAGCUGUCUUGCUCUGACUGGUGCACUGGACAUGAUUUCAAUAGUCAGCCAGACCAUGAUUGAGCUUAAGGGUUGUGCUGCGGAUGCAGCCUGUGCAGUUCCGGGAGAAAGUCACUGUCUCGGGCAAUGCGGUCUGGUAUCAGGUCUGGAUGAUCCUUGCCUGACUGCGGGUUUGUGUACACCUCAAUCCGACUCUGUGUCCUGAACAGAGGCCGCAGUGGUGCAGCGCUUGUGGACGAUCCAUCAACAUCCUGAAAGGUCAACACUACACCAAGCUGGGAAAAUUGAUCCUGAUAGUCAUCCCCAGGUAGUGGAAUGAAUGUUCACUGAACUACAGAGGAAUCACACCCAAAUGACUUUCCUGCCACGACAUUAGUGUGGCCACUCGCGUAGGAAUUCCUUAGCAAACAUGCUCUUUUGCAUGGUGACUGUGGACAUUUUUGCAAAACUUACGCUUUCAACACUGGAUUUUAAAGAGAAUACUUAAUAAAAUGUCGCUAACUGGACUUAUUUAUAUGAGAGAGACUAUCUGGAUGCGCAUUAAGUGUCACUUUGUGUCGUAAGCUGUUGAAGGAGCGAUUUGCGCCUUUUUAAGUGUUAAUUUUGGGUAGCCGGCUUGUAUGGGCUUGAAAGCUGAAAAUUAUGCCUCUCAUCAUAAUAGCAUUAAUUUUUGUAAUUGCAAUGUGUAUGUUUAGAUUGUAAGUGAAGCUUUUAAUAAUAAUUUUCUUAAAAAACAUGAUUUUAUA
This is a long non-coding RNA of Dreissena polymorpha, 1581 nucleotides long. RefSeq lists it as uncharacterized. The transcript has 3 exons. The record is from RefSeq and is a predicted model, not a curated record. NCBI's taxonomy places the organism in Eukaryota, Metazoa, Mollusca, Bivalvia, Myida, Dreissenidae.